GAUGAACGCUAGCGGCAGGCUUAAUACAUGCAAGUCGAACGGUAGAAGUCUCUUCGGAGGCUUUGAGAGUGGCGCACGGGUGCGUAACGCGUAUGCAACCUGCCUUCAGUUGGGGGAUAGCCCGGGGAAACCCGGAUUAAUACCGCAUAAUACAGGGGCCCCGCAUGGGGAUAUUUGUUAAAGAUUUAUCGACUGAAGAUGGGCAUGCGUCUGAUUAGCUAGUUGGUGAGGUAAUGGCUCACCAAGGCGACGAUCAGUAGGGGAUCUGAGAGGAUGGCCCCCCACACUGGUACUGAGAUACGGACCAGACUCCUACGGGAGGCAGCAGUAAGGAAUAUUGGACAAUGGGCGGAAGCCUGAUCCAGCCAUGCCGCGUGCAGGAAGACGGCCCUAUGGGUUGUAAACUGCUUUUGUAAGGGAAUAAUAAGGCGAACGAGUUUCGCUGAUGAAGGUACCUUACGAAUAAGCAUCGGCUAACUCCGUGCCAGCAGCCGCGGUAAUACGGAGGAUGCAAGCGUUAUCCGGAUUUAUUGGGUUUAAAGGGUGCGUAGGCGGCCUUUUAAGUCAGGGGUGAAAUGUUGCGGCUUAACCGCAGAAUUGCCUUUGAUACUGGGAGGCUUGAAUGAAGUUGAGGUAGGCGGAAUGUGGCAAGUAGCGGUGAAAUGCAUAGAGAUGCCACAGAACACCGAUUGCGAAGGCAGCUUACUAAGCUUUGAUUGACGCUGAGGCACGAAAGCGUGGGGAUCAAACAGGAUUAGAUACCCUGGUAGUCCACGCAGUAAACGAUGAGAACUAGCUGUUGGCGAUAGAAUGUCAGCGGCACAGCGAAAGCGUUAAGUUCUCCACCUGGGGAGUACGACCGCAAGGUUGAAACUCAAAGGAAUUGACGGGGGCCCGCACAAGCGGAGGAGCAUGUGGUUUAAUUCGAUGAUACGCGAGGAACCUUACCUGGGCUUGAAAGUGAGUGACCGGCGCUGAAAGGCGCCUUCCCUUCGGGGCACAAAACUAGGUGCCGCAUGGCUGUCGUCAGCUCGUGCCGUGAGGUGUUGGGUUAAGUCCCGCAACGAGCGCAACCCCUAUCAUCAGUUGCCAUCAGGUAAAGCUGGGGACUCUGGUGAGACUGCCUGCGCAAGCAGUGAGGAAGGCGGGGACGACGUCAAGUCAUCAUGGCCCUUACGUCCAGGGCUACACACGUGCUACAAUGGCAGCUACAGAGGGCCGCGACCGUGCAAACGGGAGCUAAUCUCAAAAAGGUUGUCACAGUUCGGAUUGAGGUCUGCAACUCGACCUCAUGAAGUUGGAUUCGCUAGUAAUCGCGUAUCAGCAAUGACGCGGUGAAUACGUUCCCGGGCCUUGUACACACCG
Molecule: ribosomal RNA, 1365 nt
Filed under: uncultured bacterium
Lineage: Bacteria
Description: bacterial SSU rRNA
Rfam family: Bacterial small subunit ribosomal RNA
Source: RNAcentral